This 1693-nucleotide ribosomal RNA is filed under the name Salmonella enterica subsp. enterica serovar Tennessee. RNAcentral's name for it is "bacterial LSU rRNA". It matches the Rfam family "Bacterial large subunit ribosomal RNA", at positions 1252 to 2925 of the family's 2925-position model. The record is from RNAcentral. Lineage: Bacteria; Pseudomonadati; Pseudomonadota; Gammaproteobacteria; Enterobacterales; Enterobacteriaceae.
GAAGGUGGCCUGUGAGGGUUGCUGGAGGUAUCAGAAGUGCGAAUGCUGACAUAAGUAACGAUAAAGCGGGUGAAAAGCCCGCUCGCCGGAAGACCAAGGGUUCCUGUCCAACGUUAAUCGGGGCAGGGUGAGUCGACCCCUAAGGCGAGGCCGAAAGGCGUAGUCGAUGGGAAACGGGUUAAUAUUCCCGUACUUGGUGUUACUGCGAAGGGGGGACGGAGAAGGCUAUGUUGGCCGGGCGACGGUUGUCCCGGUUUAAGCGUGUAGGUGUGUGUUCCAGGUAAAUCCGGUUCACUUUAACACUGAGGCGUGACGACGAGGCACUACGGUGCUGAAGCAACAAAUGCCCUGCUUCCAGGAAAAGCCUCUAAGCAUCAGGUAACAUCAAAUCGUACCCCAAACCGACACAGGUGGUCAGGUAGAGAAUACCAAGGCGCUUGAGAGAACUCGGGUGAAGGAACUAGGCAAAAUGGUGCCGUAACUUCGGGAGAAGGCACGCUGACAUGUAGGUGAAGUGAUUUACUCAUGGAGCUGAAGUCAGUCGAAGAUACCAGCUGGCUGCAACUGUUUAUUAAAAACACAGCACUGUGCAAACACGAAAGUGGACGUAUACGGUGUGACGCCUGCCCGGUGCCGGAAGGUUAAUUGAUGGGGUCAGCGCAAGCGAAGCUCCUGAUCGAAGCCCCGGUAAACGGCGGCCGUAACUAUAACGGUCCUAAGGUAGCGAAAUUCCUUGUCGGGUAAGUUCCGACCUGCACGAAUGGCGUAAUGAUGGCCAGGCUGUCUCCACCCGAGACUCAGUGAAAUUGAACUCGCUGUGAAGAUGCAGUGUACCCGCGGCAAGACGGAAAGACCCCGUGAACCUUUACUAUAGCUUGACACUGAACAUUGAGCCUUGAUGUGUAGGAUAGGUGGGAGGCUUUGAAGUGUGGACGCCAGUCUGCAUGGAGCCGACCUUGAAAUACCACCCUUUAAUGUUUGAUGUUCUAACGUGGACCCGUUACCCGGGUUGCGGACAGUGUCUGGUGGGUAGUUUGACUGGGGCGGUCUCCUCCUAAAGAGUAACGGAGGAGCACGAAGGUUGGCUAAUCCUGGUCGGACAUCAGGAGGUUAGUGCAAUGGCAUAAGCCAGCUUGACUGCGAGCGUGACGGCGCGAGCAGGUGCGAAAGCAGGUCAUAGUGAUCCGGUGGUUCUGAAUGGAAGGGCCAUCGCUCAACGGAUAAAAGGUACUCCGGGGAUAACAGGCUGAUACCGCCCAAGAGUUCAUAUCGACGGCGGUGUUUGGCACCUCGAUGUCGGCUCAUCACAUCCUGGGGCUGAAGUAGGUCCCAAGGGUAUGGCUGUUCGCCAUUUAAAGUGGUACGCGAGCUGGGUUUAGAACGUCGUGAGACAGUUCGGUCCCUAUCUGCCGUGGGCGCUGGAGAACUGAGGGGGGCUGCUCCUAGUACGAGAGGACCGGAGUGGACGCAUCACUGGUGUUCGGGUUGUCAUGCCAAUGGCACUGCCCGGUAGCUAAAUGCGGAAGAGAUAAGUGCUGAAAGCAUCUAAGCACGAAACUUGCCCCGAGAUGAGUUCUCCCUGAGACUUAGAGUCUCCUGAAGGAACGUUGAAGACGACGACGUUGAUAGGCCGGGUGUGUAAGCGCAGCGAUGCGUUGAGCUAACCGGUACUAAUGAACCGUGAGGCUUAACC